AGUGAACGCUGGCGGUAGGCCUAACACAUGCAAGUCGAACGGCAGCACAGUAAGAGCUUGCUCUUACGGGUGGCGAGUGGCGGACGGGUGAGGAAUACAUCGGAAUCUACUUUUUCGUGGGGGAUAACGUAGGGAAACUUACGCUAAUACCGCAUACGACCUACGGGUGAAAGCAGGGGAUCUUCGGACCUUGCGCGAUUGAAUGAGCCGAUGUCGGAUUAGCUAGUUGGCGGGGUAAAGGCCCACCAAGGCGACGAACCGUAGCUGGUCUGAGAGGAUGAUCACCCACACUGGAUCUGCGACACGGUCCAGACUCCUACGGUAGGCAGCAGUGUGGAAUAUUGGACCAUGGGCGCAAGCCUGAUCCCUCCAUACCGCUUGGGUCAAGAAGGCCUUCGUGCUGUAAAGCCCUUUUGUUGGGAAAAAAAAGCAGCAGGUUAAACCCCCGCUGUUCUGACGGUACCCAAAGAAUAAGCACCGGCUAACUUCGUG
This 492-nucleotide ribosomal RNA is filed under the name uncultured bacterium. RNAcentral's name for it is "partial 16S ribosomal RNA". It matches the Rfam family "Bacterial small subunit ribosomal RNA", at positions 29 to 507 of the family's 1533-position model. The record is from RNAcentral.